GUAGGGUCCGAGCGUUGUCCGGAAUUAUUGGGCGUAAAGAGCUCGUAGGCGGUUUGUCGCGUCUGCCGUGAAAUCCUCAGGCUCAACCUGAGGUCUGCGGUGGGUACGGGCAGACUUGAGUGGUGUAGGGGAGACUGGAAUUCCUGGUGUAGCGGUGGAAUGCGCAGAUAUCAGGAGGAACACCGAUGGCGAAGGCAGGUCUCUGGGCACUUACUGACGCUGAGGAGCGAAAGCGUGGGGAGCGAACAGGAUUAGAUACCCUGGUAGUCCACGCCGUAAACGUUGGGCGCUAGAUGUGGGGACCUUUCCACGGUUUCCGUGUCGUAGCUAACGCAUUAAGCGCCCCGCCUGGGGAGUACGGCCGCAAGGCUAAA
This 374-nucleotide ribosomal RNA is filed under the name uncultured bacterium. Its description in RNAcentral is "bacterial SSU rRNA". It matches the Rfam family "Bacterial small subunit ribosomal RNA", at positions 527 to 898 of the family's 1533-position model. The record is from RNAcentral.